Molecule: small RNA, 188 nt
Filed under: Clostridium aestuarii
Lineage: Bacteria; Bacillati; Bacillota; Clostridia; Eubacteriales; Clostridiaceae
Description: 6S RNA
Source: RNAcentral
AAUAAUCUAAAAUAUUUGUAGAGCUCUUAUUUUAAACCUACAUCAUUUAUACGGGAGUUCAAUAUAUAAAUGUGGAUUAGUAAUAUAAGACCAACUAAGAGUGGCAAGGGCAGUGAAAACAUUUGUGAGAACACCCAUCUAUCGAGAGAUAGGUGUCAAAAUCAGAGCAUCGGUAUUUUGGAUUUACA